GAGAUAAAUGCUUUUGCUGUACACUCGAUCUAAUUUUUUCUAACAAUAACUUCAUGGGGUAAGAUCACUUGGGUUCACUUCUCACUUCCUUCUGGAAAUAUCAUCAUCUUUACCCUCUGGAUGACCCACUUGCGUAUAUAAUUCAGGGUCUCAACUAAAAUGAAAGAAGAAGAAGACAAGCAAAGGAUAAAAAAGCCGCACUAUCGAUCAUUGGUGGGUUCUAGGAAGAAGAAGCAUCAGAGUAAAUUAAUUCUCUUGUUCAAAAAUGAAAAGAAAAAGAAAAAGGAAAAGGAAAAGCAGUGUAACCGACUGCUAAAUAAAGGUGAAAGUUUGAAAGAAAGAAAAAAAGGAAAAAUAUAGUGUUGCAUGGUUGCUAGGCUUUUUUUGUUUUUCUUACUAGGUAAGAAAUGGAUCUGGUAGUGAUGCUGGUGUCUGGUUGUCCACUCAAUGUUUGCAAUCUGGGUAGCCUUUAUAACUAAAAGGCUGCCAAGUCAAUAUCAAUUGUAGUUUCUGCAUUCUAUUGGAUGCCUCCUUUGGCAAUCAUAUCGAUUUGAACUACAA
Carya illinoinensis is the source of this 561-nucleotide long non-coding RNA. RefSeq lists it as uncharacterized. The transcript is spliced from 2 exons. The record is from RefSeq and is a predicted model, not a curated record. NCBI's taxonomy places the organism in Eukaryota, Viridiplantae, Streptophyta, Magnoliopsida, Fagales, Juglandaceae.